This 197-nucleotide ribosomal RNA is filed under the name uncultured bacterium. RNAcentral's name for it is "partial 16S ribosomal RNA". It matches the Rfam family "Bacterial small subunit ribosomal RNA", at positions 328 to 538 of the family's 1533-position model. The record is from RNAcentral.
ACGCUCGACACCUACGGAGGCAGCAGUUAGGAAUAUUGGGCAAUGGAGGAAACUCUGACCCAGCAACGCCGCGUGAAGGAAGAAGGUUUUCGGAUUGUAAACUUCUGAUCUAGGGGAAGAAGGAAGUGACGGUACCCUAGGAGAAAGCCACGGCUAACUACGUGCCAGCACGCCGAGUAUCUGNGGCGGCGUGAGAG